This 253-nucleotide ribosomal RNA is filed under the name uncultured bacterium. Its description in RNAcentral is "partial 16S ribosomal RNA". It matches the Rfam family "Bacterial small subunit ribosomal RNA", at positions 524 to 776 of the family's 1533-position model. The record is from RNAcentral.
UACGUAGGAGACGAGCGUUGUCCGGAGUUACUGGGCGUAAAGCGUGCGCAGGCGGUUUUGUAAGCCAGGUGUGAAAUCCCCGGGCUCAACCUGGGAAUGGCAUUUGGGACUGCAAGGCUGGAGUGCGGCAGAGGAGACUGGAAUUCCUGGUGUAGCAGUGAAAUGCGUAGAUAUCAGGAGGAACACCGAUGGCGAAGGCAGGUCUCUGGGCUGACACUGACGCUCAUGCACGAAAGCGUGGGGAGCAAACAGG